UACGUAGGGGGCAAGCGUUGUCCGGAAUCAUUGGGCGUAAAGAGCGUGUAGGCGGCCAGAAAAGUCCGCUGUGAAAACUCGAGGCUCAACUUCGAGCUGUCGGUGGAAACUUUCUGGCUAGAGUCCGGAAGAGGAGAAUGGAAUUCCUGGUGUAGCGGUGAAAUGCGCAGAUAUCAGGAAGAACACCUAUAGCGAAGGCAGCUUGCUGGGACGAUACUGACGCUAAGGCUCGAAAGCGUGGGGAGCGAACAGG
RNAcentral lists this ribosomal RNA (253 nucleotides) under uncultured bacterium. Its description in RNAcentral is "partial 16S ribosomal RNA". It matches the Rfam family "Bacterial small subunit ribosomal RNA", at positions 524 to 776 of the family's 1533-position model. The record is from RNAcentral.